GACGAACGCUGGCGGCGUGCUUAACACAUGCAAGUCGAACGGUGAAGCGCCUUCCUUUUUGGUGGGUGUGGAUGAGUGGCGAACGGGUGAGUAACACGUGAGUAACCUGCCCCCUUCUUCUGGAUAACCGCAUGAAAGUGUGGCUAAUACGGGAUAUUCUGGGUCUGUCGCAUGAUGGGUCUGGGAAAGAUAUUGUUUCGGUGGGGGAUGGGCUCGCGGCCUAUCAGCUUGUUGGUGGGGUGAUGGCCUACCAAGGCGGUGACGGGUAGCCGGCCUGAGAGGGUGGGCGGUCACACUGGGACUGAGACACGGCCAAGACUCCUACGGGAGGCAGCAGUGGGGAAUAGUGCACAAUGGGCGCAAGCCUGAUGCAGCGACGCCGCGUGAGGGAUGGAGGCCUUCGGGUUGUGAACCUCUUUCGCCAGUGAAGCAGGCCUGCCUCGUUUGUGGGUGGGUUGACGGUAGCUGGAUAAGAAGCGCCGGCUAACUACGUG
This 494-nucleotide ribosomal RNA is filed under the name uncultured bacterium. Its description in RNAcentral is "partial 16S ribosomal RNA". It matches the Rfam family "Bacterial small subunit ribosomal RNA", at positions 28 to 507 of the family's 1533-position model. The record is from RNAcentral.